Spinacia oleracea (spinach) is the source of this 1088-nucleotide long non-coding RNA. RefSeq lists it as uncharacterized. Lineage: Eukaryota; Viridiplantae; Streptophyta; Magnoliopsida; Caryophyllales; Amaranthaceae. The transcript is spliced from 4 exons. The record is from RefSeq and is a predicted model, not a curated record.
UUUCCCCCAAAUUUUCUCUCUCCUGGAACUUCCAUCUUUCUCUCCUAAAGGCGCCCAAAAUUCAGCCAUUUCUCUCCAAUUUCGCCAAAAUCUUAGAAAACAGUUUAGAUUAUUGCAUAAAAUCAGUAUCAUUCGAAGAAUUUUCGAAACAAAUUAACAAACCCGUGAAGUUUUUGAAUUCAGAAACCCUAGAAUUUUCGAUUUUCAGUUUUUGAAUGGAUCCGAGUGACGAUCAAAGAAGGCAAUAUGAAGAUGCGCGAUUUGAAGAAACAAAAGCAACUUCUGAUUUAGAAAUUCCAGAAAUUCGCAACUAUCUGCAGAUUGAUAUUCUACCAACUGAGAUUCAUAUCAAGUUGAUCCAUUAUUCUUUUCAAAGAGAGACGUUCCUUCAGCGCUUAGGUUAAUAAUGCGAGACUAUCUGCUGAUUGUUUAUUUAGUUGCAGCUGGGGACUUUUCAAAGUGUAGGAUGUCUUCUCUCAGAGCAUAUGAGCUUUUCAAACUGUACACUGCUGAGUAUUGUGGUUUUUCUUAUCAGAAAUAUAUUGUGAUAUCUUCCGUGCGUCCUCAGUAUAGAUACUUGGAAAUGUUGCAAUUGCUUAUGCAACUAGUGUUGUUUUGGCAUCGCAGACAAAAUCAAAGUGAUAAAUAAGGUCGGGGCUUCGGGUGAAUUAGGCUCUUGGUUUGUCAAAGGGUGUUGGCCUAGGUGCGGAAGCGCUUUGUGAAAACUGGUGAUAGGGUGAUACGUUGAUUCGUGAAGACGGGUGAUGCAGUAUAGUUUAUCUGUUUUAAUUAUGGCUAAAGUUGACCAUCGUUGACUUUCACAAUGGUUGUAACUUUUUAUUAUAGAGCUCUUCUUUUUACUCAAUUUUUGUUGCUUGUUGUUAGUAGGUGUAGUUUAGUUGAUGGUUUGUGGAUGUCUUCAUUCCCACCUUUGUACAAACGUUUUGGUUACUGAUGCUAAUAUACUGCUUAUAUAUCAUUAAAAAUAAUUUUUAGAACAAAUGAUAUAAGUUUCUUCUUUACUGCAACAUUCUGUUGUGCCUUAUGUUGAUUGUCUUAAAUGAAUCAUCAGGUGAUGCUAGGGAGUU